Phascolarctos cinereus (koala) is the source of this 2549-nucleotide non-coding RNA. The record is from RefSeq and is a predicted model, not a curated record. NCBI's taxonomy places the organism in Eukaryota, Metazoa, Chordata, Mammalia, Diprotodontia, Phascolarctidae.
CAUCCCAACAUGGCGUCAGGCAGGAGGUCUCUCACACGACUCAAAGAAAGCUUUCCUCUCCUCUGGUGCAUGUCCCAGUCCUUCCAUCUCUCAGUCUCCCACUCUGAGUCUCUGUCCUCACAUUCAGGUGAAGACGAGUCAACCUUCAUCACCCAAGCUAUGUCUGCCCACUGCCUAAGGUACAUCUGUCCACUGACCCUAAGAAAUGCCACUUCAGUGCAACUCCCUGCCCUGAAACUUCUAUCCUGGCAUAAGAAAUGACUUAAGGGUACCCAAAGCAUUCUGCUGCUGCGUGGAGCCUGCUAGAGACUGAAGCCACACCCUUCACUUGCCUCCCCGUUUACAAUCCUCUUCUAAGGUGUUAUUCAGGAUGCACGAUGCCCCAGACUGGAAUGGUGCCAAGACCUGGUCUCCAGGAAGCUGGGCCUUGACUUCCCCUUGGCACAGGGAGUAGACGACUACUCCUUCUAUUGUGCCGAGAUUUCCUCACAUGAGGAAUAAAAAUAUCCCUGUGAGCAGGAAGAGCAGCAUCUUACAUAAAGUAGAGCCUCAUGUGAGCAUGGCAAGCACAUAAAAAUGCCUUUUCAUUCAUGUUCAUGUGUUCAUUCCUUCAUUCACGAGAAACUCCAGGAAGCAGGGAGGGUAAGCACAGCACAGGGGAGCAGAUUCAAGUGAGGAUCAAGAGAGGUGGAACCAGAUGUGAAGUCAUCAUCUGAGAAUCCCACAGACCAUCUGGACAGAAGGGGAAAGAAAUGAGAAGUUGAAGAGCCCUCCGGAGCUUGGCCCAGAGCUAGGAAGCAGUAGCUUGAGGGAACUUCCAUUAUGUGUAUAUCUGCUUCGAGCUCUCCACCAAAGUCAGAGGCAGAGCACAGCCUUUCCUUACCUGCCUCAAGUCAGAAGGAAUUCUCCUCUGGAUUGCAUUCUCCCCAACAAAGAGGGGCAGACAUAAUGGGGACCAUGAAGGGGAAUGUCUGCUCCUCAGAGCUUCUGACAGAGAAGGACAAGAGGGCUGGGCAGAAUCAGAAAUAUUAACUAGGUAUGGGGAGAGUAGAUUUCAAAGGAGAAGUCAAUUCCCGUUGACUCAGAUUCUACAGGAGAUGUCAGCCCAGGGAGGAUGAGAUGCUUUCAAGGGUGGAAUUCUGAAGAAACAAAGAGAGAUAAGGAAGGAAGCAAGAAAAAUGGAGUAAGCCCAGUGGAGGUUCCUCACCCCUGGAGGAGAAUGACAAUCCUCUACAGAUGAUUCUACAACCAGCUUAGAUUUUUUUUAAAGUACAAGCACAGAAGAUGGAAAUCAAAGAAAGUAACAAAGGAUGAAGACAACAUUUUGUCAUGAAAAGCAAAAAAAAAAAACCUCAAACUUGGGGUAGCCCUGUAAGAAUAUUGUCAGAAAUGCUAAAGCAAAGAUGAGCUAAGGCUGGAGAAGAAAACUGAGCCCAAGAUGGGAUGUUGUCCUUGAGCAACAUUAGGGGAAAGAGGAGUGGCUAGGAGAAAAAUGAGUCCCAGGAGAAAGCAGAGUUAUUCAGUCCUCAUUUUACUCUUGUGUUCUCUCCCCUAGACAUGAUCUCUGAGACAGGGAAAGGUCAGAAUAAAAGUGAACAGCAGGGAGUGGGUACCCAGUAAAAUGUGAGGCCCUCCAACAGCCUGAGCUGGGUUUACAUCACCAAGUUCAGGUGAACUCUCUCUUUGGGUACCGAAAGAACUGGCAAAUGGUGCCACUGAGGCACAGAGAAAUGAGAAGAAAAAAGCCUUUCAGAUCUUUAGUUGGAGAAGCAGUUAUAACCAAAAAAGCAACAGAGGAGAUUAAAAAAGGGGAGGGGGCAACAUUCAAACAACACAAAUAAAAAACUUUUACACUGACAAAAUGAGUGCAACUACAUUAAGUGGGAAUCUUUUUUUUUUAUCAAAUAUCUGAAAAAGCCUGAAGUCUAGGCCAUUACCUCCAUCAAGUCCUAUUCUGAUGCUACAUUGUGAUGUGGAGGUGACUCUGGGUUCUAGGUUCUUUGGGAAGUUUGGCCAUGCAAGAGAAGUUCUGAUUAUAGUCCCAGCAAGAGACUGUAUUAACUCUCUGAGGACCAGCCUCAUUAAAGAGAGGCUCACUGCUAAUAAGCUGGUCUUCUGGCAAUGACCUCAGCCACGGCAACUCAUGAGAAAGAAAGACACAAGUGGUCCUCUAUUUUAUCCUUCUGCAAUGAUGUGACCAAGGGGCAGAACGCAGUACAUCUUACCCAGUUUUCAGAGCAGCUCUAACAAAAACUUAGCCGCUGGUUCUCUGAACAUAAGGUCACCGUCCAGUGAUCACAGGCACACCUGUUGAUAAACCACAAGGCCUUAAAGGAAGCUGCAGUUAAGUGGGAGGACAGCUCACAGGUUCUCCUUGAAGAGGCAAAUAGAGGAGUCGGUGGAACCGGAACACGGUGCAUCACAAAGCAACAAGAAAAAUCAUUUCAUGGCAAAUUUGGCCAUCUUGAACAGUGGUUGUGAGAAGUAUCUGCAGAAAUACCAUGAAUGAUGCCACCACGUGUUCUGAGGAAGAGUAUGUACAGAAGGCU